GCGGCAGGCCUAACACAUGCAAGUCGAGCGGAUAACGACAACAUUGACCCUUCGGGUGAUUUAGUUGGGCGUCGAGCGGCGGACGGGUGAGUAAUGCCUGGGAAAUUGCCCUGAUGUGGGGGAUAACCAUUGGAAACGAUGGCUAAUACCGCAUAAUGCCUUCGGGCCAAAGAGGGGGACCUUCGGGCCUCUCGCGUCAGGAUAUGCCCAGGUGGGAUUAGCUAGUUGGUGAGGUAAUGGCUCACCAAGGCGACGAUCCCUAGCUGGUCUGAGAGGAUGAUCAGCCACACUGGAACUGAGACACGGUCCAGACUCCUACGGGAGGCAGCAGUGGGGAAUAUUGCACAAUGGGCGCAAGCCUGAUGCAGCCAUGCCGCGUGUAUGAAGAAGGCCUUCGGGUUGUAAAGUACUUUCAGCAGUGAGGAAGGUUCAUACGUUAAUAGCGUAUGGAUUUGACGUUAGCUGCAGAAGAAGCACCGGCUAACUCCGUGCCAGCAGCCGCGGUAAUACGGAGGGUGCGAGCGUUAAUCGGAAUUACUGGGCGUAAAGCGCAUGCAGGUGGUUCGUUAAGUCAGAUGUGAAAGCCCGAGGCUCAACCUCGGAACUGCAUUUGAAACUGGCGGACUAGAGUACUGUAGAGGGGGGUAGAAUUUCAGGUGUAGCGGUGAAAUGCGUAGAGAUCUGAAGGA
RNAcentral lists this ribosomal RNA (689 nucleotides) under Vibrio sp. TD25. RNAcentral's name for it is "bacterial SSU rRNA". It matches the Rfam family "Bacterial small subunit ribosomal RNA", at positions 39 to 705 of the family's 1533-position model. Lineage: Bacteria; Pseudomonadati; Pseudomonadota; Gammaproteobacteria; Vibrionales; Vibrionaceae. The record is from RNAcentral.